UAGAUCCAAGGUUUUUAUACUGAUUUGAACUCUCGAGUUGCGAUUUCAGUGGAAGUUAAGGACAAAGUUUGACUUUCGUCAAUAUUUGGAGUUUGAAUGCUCGAAUUGAAAUUCCGUUGAUUUCGUUGGUUUUAGGAGAUGAUUUUAGGCGUGGUAGAGUUUCAAUUUAUUUUUCAAGGGUUCCGAGGGUGUUUUGGUCUUUUUGGUGAAAAGUUAGUUAGUAGUUGCUUUAAUGGGUGUCGGGUCAAGGAGAUCUCGGACUUGUAUUUCGAUGGUUCUAAUGAGUCCAAAACAUGGAACUUAGUGGGGUUACAUAUAUGGUUUGUGUGCACGGGAUUCCGAACGAAUCUCGUGGGUGCAUUCGGAGACUUCAUUUCUGUUAUUGUUGUUGUCACUGAUGGUUCUGGUGCCCUUAUUCGCGUUUGCUGAGCCUGCGUGCGCGAAGGGUCGUGCUGCCUAGACUUCGCGUUCGUGGGACCUUGGCUUCGUGCGCCGAAGGUUGGUUGUCUAGCCUUCAUGGUCGCGAGUCCUUGGCUCCGUUCGCCAAGGCUUGGGGGUUUGGCCUUCCGAUUGCAGAGCCUUGGUCGUGUUCACGAAGAGCAAUUCCUGGCAAGACCUUUUCAUCCUCCAAAAUUGUGAUUUCUUUCCUUUUCACCAUUGUUGACCUUGAGAACUCAUCUUGGGCGAUUUUUAAAGAGAAAUUUCAAGACCAAAGUGUUGUAUUGUGUUGAUUCGGAGGCUCGGCGUAAAGGAAAAGCUCAAGUGCCAAGUUGGAUUCUUCACUUUAAGAAGGAAAUUACACCAUUUCAUCUCCUGUUGUGUAUUUUGACCAUGAGUGGCCUUUGGAUGUUUAUUAUGAAUCUUCAUUGAUGGUAUGUUUUUGACUGAUUUGGUUAGCUUAUUGAGGUUAAAUGUGUCAUCUUCUUCUAUGUAUUUGAUCAUGCCUAUUUGCAUUAAUGCUGAAACUUUGUUAUGAGAUGACAUCAUGAAAAAUUGAUUAAUGAUUGAUAUUGCCCA
Molecule: long non-coding RNA, 1017 nt
Organism: Solanum dulcamara
Lineage: Eukaryota; Viridiplantae; Streptophyta; Magnoliopsida; Solanales; Solanaceae
Exons: 2
Source: RefSeq, a predicted model, not a curated record